RNAcentral lists this ribosomal RNA (499 nucleotides) under uncultured bacterium. RNAcentral's name for it is "partial 16S ribosomal RNA". It matches the Rfam family "Bacterial small subunit ribosomal RNA", at positions 30 to 523 of the family's 1533-position model. The record is from RNAcentral.
AUUGAACGCUGGCGGCAUGCUUUACACAUGCAAGUCGAACGGCAGCACGGACUUCGGUCUGGUGGCGAGUGGCGAACGGGUGAGUAAUACAUCGGAACGUGCCCAGUUGUGGGGGAUAACUACUCGAAAGAGUAGCUAAUACCGCAUGAGAACUGAGGUUGAAAGCAGGGGAUCGUAAGACCUUGCGCAACUGGAGCGGCCGAUGGCAGAUUAGGUAGUUGGUGGGAUAAAAGCUUACCAAGCCGACGAUCUGUAGCUGGUCUGAGAGGACGACCAGCCACACUGGGACUGAGACACGGCCCAAACGCCUACGGGAGGCAGCAGUGGGGAAUUUUGGACAAUGGGCGAAAGCCUGAUCCAGCAAUGCCGCGUGCAGGAUGAAGGCCUUCGGGUUGUAAACUGCUUUUGUACGGAACGAAAAGCUUCGGGUUAAUACCCUGGAGUCAUGACGGUACCGUAAGAAUAAGCACCGGCUAACUACGUGCCAGCCGCCCCGUAA